Molecule: ribosomal RNA, 549 nt
Filed under: uncultured compost bacterium
Lineage: Bacteria
Description: bacterial SSU rRNA
Rfam family: Bacterial small subunit ribosomal RNA
Source: RNAcentral
UGGGGAAUUUUGGACAAUGGACGCAAGUCUGAUCCAGCCAUGCCGCGUGCGGGAAGAAGGCCUUCGGGUUGUAAACCGCUUUUGUCAGGGAAGAAAAGUCUGGAGCUAAUAUCUCCGGACGAUGACGGUACCUGAAGAAUAAGCACCGGCUAACUACGUGCCAGCAGCCGCGGUAAUACGUAGGGUGCAAGCGUUAAUCGGAAUUACUGGGCGUAAAGCGUGCGCAGGCGGUUCUAUAAGACAGAUGUGAAAUCCCCGGGCUCAACCUGGGAACUGCAUUUGUGACUGUAGAGCUGGAGUGCGGCAGAGGGGGAUGGAAUUCCGCGUGUAGCAGUGAAAUGCGUAGAUAUGCGGAGGAACACCGAUGGCGAAGGCAAUCCCCUGGGCCUGCACUGACGCUCAUGCACGAAAGCGUGGGGAGCAAACAGGAUUAGAUACCCUGGUAGUCCGCGCCCUAAACGAUGUCGACUGGUUGUUGGGAAGGUUCCUUCUCAGUAACGUAGCUAACGCGUGAAGUUGACCGCCUGGGGAGUACGGCCGCAAGGUUGA